AUUGAACGCUAGCGGGAUGCCUUACACAUGCAAGUCGAACGGAGUGGCGAACGGGUGAGUAAUGUAUCGGAAUGUGCCCAGUAGCGGGGGAUAACUACGCGAAAGCGUAGCUAAUACCGCAUACUAUUGGAGCGGCCGAUAUCGGAUUAGCUAGUUGGGGAGGUAACGGCUCACCAACGCGACGACCCGGAGCUGGUUUGAGAGGACGACCAGCCACACUGGGACUGAGACACGGCCCAGACUCCUACGGGAGGCAGCAGUGGGGAAUUUUGGACAAUGGGCGAAACCCUGAUCCAGCCAUCCCGCGGGGACGAUGAAGGCCUUCGGGUUGUAAAGAACUUUUGGCAGGAAAGCGGUACCUGCAGAAUAAGCACCGGCUAACUACGUGCCAGCAGCCGCGGUAAUUC
This 407-nucleotide ribosomal RNA is filed under the name uncultured bacterium. RNAcentral describes it as "partial 16S ribosomal RNA". It matches the Rfam family "Bacterial small subunit ribosomal RNA", at positions 30 to 526 of the family's 1533-position model. The record is from RNAcentral.